UCCCCUGUCCUAGACAACUGCUUCC
This 25-nucleotide non-coding RNA is filed under the name Rattus norvegicus (Norway rat). Lineage: Eukaryota; Metazoa; Chordata; Mammalia; Rodentia; Muridae. The record is from RNAcentral.